This 463-nucleotide ribosomal RNA is filed under the name uncultured Sphingobacteriales bacterium. Its description in RNAcentral is "bacterial SSU rRNA". It matches the Rfam family "Bacterial small subunit ribosomal RNA", at positions 915 to 1382 of the family's 1533-position model. The record is from RNAcentral. Lineage: Bacteria; Pseudomonadati; Bacteroidota; Sphingobacteriia; Sphingobacteriales.
GGGGGCCCGCACAAGCGGUGGAGCAUGUGGUUUAAUCGAUGAUACGCGAGGACCUUACCUGGGCUCAAAUGUAUGUUGACGUAUUCUGAAAGGGAUACUUCUUCGGACAAUAUACAAGGUGCUGCAUGGUUGUCGUCAGCUCGUGCCGUGAGGUGUCGGGUUAAGUCCCAUAACGAGCGCAACCCCUAUCAUUAGUUGCCAUCAGGUCAGGCUGGGGACUCUAAAGGAACUGCCUACGCAAGUAGUGAGGAAGGCGGGGAUGACGUCAAAUCAGCACGGCCCUUACGUCCAGGGCUACACACGUGCUACAAUGGCCGAUACAGAGGGCAGCUACCUGGUGACAGGAUGCAAAUCUCCAAAGUCGGUCUCAGUUCGGAUCGGAGUCUGCAACCCGACUCCGUGAAGUUGGAUUCGCUAGUAAUCGCGCAUCAGCCAUGGCGCGGUGAAUACGUUCCCGGGCCUU